GAUGAACGCUGGCGGCGUGCCUAAUACAUGCAAGUCGAGCGCGAGAGUGAGGAGCUUGCUCCUCAUGAUCGAGCGGCGGACGGGUGAGUAACACGUAGGCAACCUACCCUUGAGAUUGGGAUAACUACCGGAAACGGUAGCUAAUACCGGAUACGACUUUUCCACAUAAGUGGAAUGGUUAAAAGGCGGAUUUAUCUGCCGCCCAUGGAUGGGCCUGCGGUGCAUUCGCUAGUUGGUGAGGUAGUGGCUCACCAAGGCGACGAUGCAUAGCCGACCUGAGAGGGUGAUCGGCCACACUGGGACUGAGACACGGCCCAGACUCCUACGGGAGGCAGCAGUAGGGAAUCUUCCGCAAUGGACGAAAGUCUGACGGAGCAACGCCGCGUGAGUGAUGAAGGGUUUCGGCUCGUAAAACUCUGUUGUUAAGGAAGAACACUUGAGGUAGUAACUGGCCUUGAGAUGACGGUACUUAACCAGAAAGCCACGGCUAACUACGUGCCAGCCGCCGCCGUAA
This 514-nucleotide ribosomal RNA is filed under the name uncultured bacterium. RNAcentral's name for it is "partial 16S ribosomal RNA". It matches the Rfam family "Bacterial small subunit ribosomal RNA", at positions 28 to 523 of the family's 1533-position model. The record is from RNAcentral.